This 528-nucleotide ribosomal RNA is filed under the name uncultured bacterium. RNAcentral's name for it is "bacterial SSU rRNA". It matches the Rfam family "Bacterial small subunit ribosomal RNA", at positions 777 to 1304 of the family's 1533-position model. The record is from RNAcentral.
AAUAGAUACCCGGGUAGUACACGCCGUAAACGGUGGGCACUAGGUGUGGGCGACAUUCCACGUCGUCCGUGCCGCAGCUAACGCAUUAAGUGCCCCGCCUGGGGAGUACGGCCGCAAGGCUAAAACUCAAAGGAAUUGACGGGGGCCCGCACAAGCGGCGGAGCAUGCGGAUUAAUUCGAUGCAACGCGAAGAACCUUACCAAGGCUUGACAUAUACGAGAACGCUCUAGAAAUAGGGAACUCUUUGGACACUCGUAUACAGGUGGUGCAUGGUUGUCGUCAGCUCGUGUCGUGAGAUGUUGGGUUAAGUCCCGCAACGAGCGCAACCCGUCGUUCUAUGUUGCCAGCGGUUCGGCCGGGAACUCAUAGGAGACUGCCGGGGUCAACUCGGAGGAAGGUGGGGAUGACGUCAAAUCAUCAUGCCCCUUAUGUCUUGGGCUUCACGCAUGCUACAAUGGCCGGUACAAAGGGCUGCAAUCCGUAAGGUGGAGCGAAUCCCAAAAAGCCGGUCUCAGUUCGGAUUGAGGU